CGCUGCUGCACACACACUAAUGGGCAUAGCGCUUGUUCCGGUUGAUUUCAGCUGGCGGGCUAACCAACUCCAAGUUUGCUGAAACAUACUAGCUACAGAAUUGAAUCGUUUAUCAUAAUAAUAAUAAAAAAAAAAAGAAAAAUAAAGAGAAGAGGAAACACUGUUAUGUACCAGUAACACUGAGAGGGAGAGUGAGAGCGCACAUUUUGGUGAUGGGAGUUAUUUUAACGACCCUCGGGAGCUGACAGUGAUGCUAGCUAAGCUUAUCUCUGCGAGCCGGGGCUGCCUGCAAAGAAAAAGUCACCAGACUGAGCCAACAGCUUGUUUCAGAGUGGCCUGUCUUGAGGGCUUACUGCUGGUGUUGCUUCAGGCUGAAAACAAAACAAAGGAAAGAAUUUGUUAGUCUUGUUUUUGUCCCUGACACUGGCUCUUUAACCAGAGGGGACAUCAAGCCCACUGGCAAGACAGAUGACCCUGGUCCAAUUACAGCAUCCAGUCUGGAGUGACUGUGUGGAGUCUGCAGUGUUUCAGAUGACCUGCAGUUGACUGUGUCUGAAGCAGAUGCUCCGCAUAGAUGAGGAGAGCUGGCAGAUAGAGGCAUCCAGCUGUUUAAAGAAGAGAGAAAUCUGUUGUUGUUUUAUGAUGACACGUUCCUAAUGCCAAAAAUCGCACGCUCUCACACACAAACGCACACACACAAAAGUAGACACAAACAGAUGUGGACACACACACACACACACACACACACACACACACACACACACGCACAGAGUAUUCAUGGAUGUUUCUUCGGUGAAAGCUAAUCCCCUGCCGCUGUCAGCCAUGCUUUCGUCUCCUAAGGAAAGCUCCUUACACAAGCCAAAGCUCAUCCUGAGUGUGGAAGAACACACAAAACACAAAAAUACAUAUGAGAAAACACACACAUACACAUACACACUCAAAGUUAGGGUAGAUGAUCUUACGUCACUUUGGCAAAGCUUUGUCCACCCUGUAAACAACCCAGAGAUAUGAACGGUACAAUCUCCAUACCCUGUUUUCCAAAAGUAGUUACACACAUUUCUACGUUUACACACAUCCACGCACAUAUACACAUAGCUAUGCACAAAUAUAAAACAUAGUUGUGCAGCUCAGCACUCCAUAAUCAGACCACUUGUUCUUAAAGGGAGUAAAGUUGGUAAAAACUUUUGUACUCAUGCAUGUGCGCACACACGCACAAACACAGCCCUCAUUCAAUGCCCUCUUAUUCAAUGCCCUUUUAUAAACUUGUAAUGCCUUAGAGGUUGUCUACUCAUGUUUG
This is a long non-coding RNA of Xiphias gladius (swordfish), 1297 nucleotides long. RefSeq lists it as uncharacterized. The record is from RefSeq and is a predicted model, not a curated record. NCBI's taxonomy places the organism in Eukaryota, Metazoa, Chordata, Actinopteri, Istiophoriformes, Xiphiidae. The transcript has 3 exons.